CGCGUAGGUGGCUUCAUAAGUCCGUUGUGAAAGUCAAAGGCUCAACCUUUGAAAGCCGAUGGAUACUGUGAAGCUAGAGUACGGAAGAGGCGAGUGGAAUUCCUGGUGUAGCGGUGGAAUGCGCAGAUAUCAGGAGGAACACCAAUAGCGAAGGCAGCUCGCUGGGACGUUACUGACACUGAGGCGCGAAAGCGUGGGGAGCGAACAGGAUUAGAUACCCUGGUAGUCCACGCCGUAAACGAUGGGUACUAGGUGUGGGAGGUGUCGACUCCUCCCGUGCCGUCGCUAACGCACUAAGUACCCCGCCUGGGGAGUACGGCCGCAAGGCUAAA
This 332-nucleotide ribosomal RNA is filed under the name uncultured bacterium. RNAcentral's name for it is "bacterial SSU rRNA". It matches the Rfam family "Bacterial small subunit ribosomal RNA", at positions 568 to 898 of the family's 1533-position model. The record is from RNAcentral.